UAAUCCCGUAUAUCUCUAAGGAUCCCAUGAUCCUUAGAUGAAAGAUGGUUCUGCUAUCGCUUUUAGAUGGACCCGCGGCGUAUUAACUAGUUGGUGGGGUAACGGCCUACCAAGGCGAUGAUACGUAGCCGACCUGAGAGGUUGAUCGGCCACAUUGGGACUGAGACACGGCCCAAACUCCUACGGGAGGCAGCAGUAGGGAAUCUUCCACAAUGGACGCAAGUCUGAUGGAGCAACGCCGCGUGAGUGAAGAAGGUCUUCGGAUCGUAAAACUCUGUUGUUAGAGAAGAACACGAGUGAGAGUAACUGUUCAUUCGAUGACGGUAUCUAACCAGCAAGUCACGGCUAACUACGUGCCAGCAGCCGCGGUAAUACGUAGGUGGCAAGCGUUGUCCGGAUUUAUUGGGCGUAAAGGGAACGCAGGCGGUCUUUUAAGUCUGAUGUGAAAGCCUUCGGCUUAACCGGAG
Molecule: ribosomal RNA, 467 nt
Filed under: Ligilactobacillus salivarius
Lineage: Bacteria; Bacillati; Bacillota; Bacilli; Lactobacillales; Lactobacillaceae
Description: bacterial SSU rRNA
Rfam family: Bacterial small subunit ribosomal RNA
Source: RNAcentral